UACGUAGGGUGCAAGCGUUAAUCGGAAUUACUGGGCGUAAAGCGUGCGCAGGCGGUGAUGUAAGACAGGUGUGAAAUCCCGGGCUUAACCUGGGAACUGCAUUUGUGACUGCAUCGCUGGAGUGCGGCAGAGGGGGAUGGAAUUCCGCGUGUAGCAGUGAAAUGCGUAGAUAUGCGGAGGAACACCGAUGGCGAAGGCAUCCCCUGG
Molecule: ribosomal RNA, 207 nt
Filed under: uncultured bacterium
Lineage: Bacteria
Description: partial 16S ribosomal RNA
Rfam family: Bacterial small subunit ribosomal RNA
Source: RNAcentral